Dermochelys coriacea (leatherback sea turtle) is the source of this 1045-nucleotide long non-coding RNA. RefSeq lists it as uncharacterized. The transcript is spliced from 2 exons. NCBI's taxonomy places the organism in Eukaryota, Metazoa, Chordata, Testudines, Dermochelyidae. The record is from RefSeq and is a predicted model, not a curated record.
GAGGCAGUGGUCCUAGUAUAGACAUCAGUCCCCUUCACUACAUAACCCUGAUUCAUCCUCCAAAGCAGAACCAACCUGUGCAUUGAAUAAGGCAGGAAUCCUAUGGAAAAAUAGAAUGUGAUCAUGUAAUUGAAGACUGUUAAGAAAUUCUAACAAGUGGAAAUAUAUUGACCUCCAACUCAGGUGAUCAGCAGGGUUCACACCUUUAUAUCCACAGCACAGACCUCUACAACUUUAGCCAAUGCAGUAAGGAUAGCAUGUGUACAGUUAUCCAUGUGGACCAGCCACUAAAGGACGAUGAGACACACUUUGCCAAUAGGUUUCAUAGCUAUCUAGUAACAGAAAAUAAAAGUAGAGAUUCAGGAUGCUUGACUUCAAUUCCUGGUUUUGGAGGGAGCGUUCUCUGUUGUAUAUAGAGUACCCGUGGCACCUUAGAGACUACAUCGGAGGCAUCCGAUGAAGUGAGCUGUAGCUCACGAAAGCUUAUGCUCUAAUAAAUCUGUUAGUCUCUAAGGUGCCACGGGUACUCCUUUUCUUUUUGCGAAUACAGACUAACACGGCUGCUACUCUGAAAUCUGUUGUAUAUAGACCUUUCUGACCCUGUGCACCCAUUAACUAUCUAAUUCACUUGGCACCAAUUGUGCUGUUUGUUUACUUUUUAUACUUAAUUCAACCUGAACAAUUAAAAUAGCCUACACGCUGAUCAGUUUCUCUUUCUGUUCUCUUGCACUAGCACAGAACUCUCUGGUUGCAAAUUCUUCAGAGGAAGUCUGGCUAAAAUAGCAAGAACUUUAUUCUUGGAAGAAAAACAAACAACAAAAAACAAUCCCGCCUAGCCUUCAGAGAGGAGAAACGCUUCUGGGUCCUAAUGCAGAUGGAGUUCCCUACUGGCACUUCUUGUCUGUUCCCUCCAGUGCAACCAUACAGAAAGCUAUUCUCCGAGUCCUGGCUGGGACUGCCCGUGAGGAUGGCAGUAACGCUCUUAAAUCUACACAGCUGUUUGAAAGGCUCUCAAUAGCUUACAUAAAAUAAUCACUUAAUCUUU